CUUCUGGCCGCCCCCGAGCGGCGCGCAGAGCAGCAGGAGCAGGAGGAGCGGGAGCGGCGCGAGGCGCGGCAGGAUGCCACCGACCGACAGAGGCACCUGGAAGAAGGAAGAGAAAGUAUUGAGAAACCCUGCAGAGUCCUGCUGCUGUAAUUCUGGACUGCAAAUCCCAGUGACCUCAGGGGCAGCAGGAAGAGGAAGUGACCACAGCCAGAGAGCCAUGCUCUAGCAUCUCCCAGCUUCUGUCCUGAGCCAUGGUUAGAAUUAGGUCACUUAAACUGCACCAGGAAUGCACAUUGAAUCUGUUAUGCAGCUUCAUCAAAAACUACGCUAGUUUCCUCUGCCUUCAGUUUCGCUCUAUGGACAGAUCAGCCAGCCUGGACAUCGAGGAGCUCAAGAAUGGUGGAUGAUGAGGAGAAGAAAUGAGACUGAGCCCAUCUCUUCCCCAACCUUUUUUGGAAUUUUAUGUACUCCAGCAGAAGAAGGAAGAGAGAGUUCUAUUACUCAUACAGAUACAAGAGAGUUUUCUAAUGUCCUGGGCUGUAUUGAUGUCUAUACCUUUUUGUCAAUAGAGCCACAUAAAAUGUAAGGAUACUUAUGAUCAGUCAAACCAAAAAGCACUGUUAAUCUGGAUAGAAAUCUCAUUGUUUCAGGGUUCUUGCCAAGAUUAUAGGCUAUAAUUUGGGUACUGAUAUGAAUGUGGACUUUUAUGUGCUUUUUCCUUCACUAGAAGAAGAGUUGUUAUCCCUCUAAAAAUAUUUAUUUUCCCUAAGAAAUAAACUACUGCACUCCAAAGUCAAAGCUGCUUUCUUCUGUUUACAAAAAGCCACCAAGCAACUUUGGCUUUUUCAUAAUAUUCCUGAGAGCCCAAAAUAUUAGUGGCUGUUUCUUUCAGAAAAUAAGAUCAGUCCUUAAAUAAGUUACUCCUAGCUUGCUUUCACUUUACUUAUUGAACUUUAUUUCUUUCAUGUUACAUCAUUUUAUAUAUAAUUAUUUCACUUGAAUUUGGAGAUACAGCAGUUUGCAGGUGCAUAUGUUGUGCAGAUCAACCCUAGUAGACUUCAGAAAAUAUAGUUGAUAAAUUGCCUGCCCUGACCCAAAACACGACAAAACAAAACAAAAACACAAGCCAAUGAAGUGAGGCAUGCGACGGUUUCUAAUCAAUUCCGUAUCUCCCAAAAGGAGGAAUAUAGACUCAUAAAGAGAUGUUUCACAUAUGGUACUUAAAAUAUGUCUCAUCAAAGAAAACAUGGAAACAGAUACUUCUGUAUAAAGGUGAAAGAUUUUUAAAGAAAGGAAAAAAUGUGAAUAAUAUCUGAAACUGAUAUGACUGUCAGUUAUAUAGUGUAGCUUGAUCAAUUCUGUUUAAGCAGACCUUAUGCCAUUUCUUUCCAAGUCUUAAUUAACUGUUAUUUCUGCCCUUGCAUCUUGACAUUUGUCUCAUAUAUUUUGUGCAAAGAAGUAAUACAAACAUAUUCAAAGUUGUUUGCAUAGGUACAUAUGUAUCAUAUAUGCCUCCAUACAUUGUAUAUACACAACGCACACACAUAUGCAAUACAUAAAAAAUGCACACAAAACAGUGAUAGAAGAACAUUAAUAAAAUUGGAAAGUCUUAAAAAGCCAGAAUUAUAGUUGUCUGUGCCAUCUUAAUUUGGGCCACUUGUGCUUAUGCAUAUGAAACUGCCUAAUUACAUGAUCACAUCAUUUUUUUCCACAGAUCACAGCAUGCAGGUGUAAUGUAUAGUAGGAAAGAGCUCAGAAGCCAAAAUGUGCUCAAGAAAUCAGAAAAUAUUUACUGCUUAGGAAGAAAAGGAGAGUCCUUUGGCGAGGUCUCUCUAGUGAAAGUUUUUGAUUUUAGUGUUUUUUGUGAAUAGGAUUCCAGGAUGCUUCACACUGGUCUUCUGUAGGCUUUGUGGUUGUUAUAAUUUGGCAUGUCAAGAAGGCAUCUAUCUUACUGCUUGUGUAAUUUCUGCUCUCAUGACAAGAGGUAAACAUCUCUCUAAAGGUGUUUCUUAUUGAUUACUUUAAAAUUCAUAUCCUUUGUUGCUACGCGUUCUUUGAAUUCUCUUUUUGUGUGACUAUAAAGUGUUGCCAGUAUGUGGUGUUCCUUUCCCCAAGCAAAACUCCUUUGAGUGCAAGAAGUGUUAUUAGACCAAUAAUGCAUAUAAUGAAGCUUUAUGCUUGUGCAUAUAAAAAAUGCAAAUAUACAAUAUGCUGCUUGUUUCCCAGUUUAAAAAAAAAUUAAUAUUUAAAAUGUGUGAGGCGAGGCCAUGCUUUUGUUUUAUGAGUUAAAUAUUUUGACAGAUUAACUAUGGCUGUUAGUAUGCUGCUAGUGUUAGAAAGGUGAAUUGGUUCUGGAUACUUUAAUACAAGAAAUCAUUCAACAUUUGUUAUUAUUUACUUGUAUUUCAAUAACUCCUGAAAUAUUCUAGGUGUUGCUUCUGAAAAGAUCACAAGAAGUGCAAAUAACAGAUGAAAGUAGGGGAUGAUGUAUUAAAAACAAUCAUCUUAGAAACAAAAUAAGUUCUUGCCAAUUACCUGUCAGAUUGCAGUCAUAACAAUGAGAAAAUGCAUUAGAGAAAAGGAAAAGUUCAUUAAAAAUAUAGGAGAAAAGGUUUUUCAAAUUUCAUCAAAAUACUUUUUAAUUUUCAACAUAGAACAAUGGCCUACUCAACUGACUUCUCCCUUUCUGUGGUCAUUAGUACUUGGACUCUUAGCUUUGGAUAUCCUUCAUUUCCUGACUUCAACAUUUUAUUUACUUUAUGGGCUAUCUCUUGACAUUAUUUUUUUAAUUGGAACUUUCCAUAGAUUUCACAAUCUAAAAUUUUGUAGAAAGAAUACUGUCACAGGGAGAGAAAAACCGGGGAAACUCCCAAGUCCAUGGGGGGAGCCCCAGGACGAAGAGCCGGGAGCAGAACAGCAAAAAGGAAAAUAAAAAAAAAUAGCUUGCUCACUGCAGGAUGGGAGGAGGAGCAGGGAUGGCAGGAGAAGCCCACGUGGGGCGUAGAUCAUGCCCUAAAUUACCCGUGGCUGGCAGAUGAUGUCACUCCCAAUCACCAGCCGGCGGAAAUAAAAGGGCCGGCGGCGAAAAGGAGCAGGGGGCGCACAUGGCUGCUGGGAGGGAGCCUGGCCAGUGGAGGCAGCUGGAGGAACGGAACGCCAGACGUGCCUACCCGCGCUCACCGCAGGGAACUGAAGGAACCUGGGGGCGAGCCAGCGCCCGAGGCCAGCACGACAGCUGCAGGCGAGCUGGGAGAGGAAAUGGUAAGAGCCCCAGCGGUGCGGAGAGGUCAGUGGGCCAGAGAAGACCUGAAGAGAGAGCUACAGCUUGGGGAAGACCUGGAGAGGAGGCUGCAGUUCAGGGAAGACCCGGAGAGAGGGCUGCAGUUUGGGGAAGACCCAGAGAGAGGGCUGCAGGCCGAGGAAGACUUGGAGAGAGGGCUCCAGUUCGGGGAAGACCCAGAGAGAGGGCUGCAGGCCGAGGAAGACUUGGAGAGAGGGCUCCAGUUCGGGGAAGACCCAGAGAGAGGGGCACUGCUCCCAGGGAACCCAGACAGAGGGUCACGUUGGUAGGAUACCGGAGAAGAAGUGGUGUGAGGCUGGGAUAGGUGGAGAGGGGCCACAGGACCGAGCCACGGGCAGGCGGCCCUGUCAACAAGUGGAGGGAUAGAGAGGCUGUCGGCUCCAUAAGGAAGCCCAAUAGGGGCAGGGUUAGGCCUCUUUUGAGGCUCAUUGAGCUUUUCAUUUGAGUCCUGGAAGGAGUUUUGUGUUUCCCCGUAUUAGAAGGGGCUGAGGUGGUGGAGGCCAGGAGUAGGAGUGAGAGGUGAGCUCAUUGUUUAAAUAUUUAGGGGAUAUUUUGUGUUGCAGGGCACCUCGGUGCUCUGCUCCUAGAGAGAGGAACUGCCAGGGAGAAAGAGCCCUGGCAGGGAAUAACGAGCACAGCUGUCAGUUGCCCGGGGCAACCAGGAAGUCAUCUGACUGGAAUGGGCAGGGCCUGGCCCUCAUAAAGCCCAGAGGCUGAGGCCAGGCUGGCAGUUCCCUGCCAGCAGCCAGAGGGGCAGGAGCUCCUGGAGUUAGGAUGCGGGAACCGCAGGUGCAGCUCAAGCCAGAUAAAAGAAGGCAGCUCUAUGAUGUCUGAGCAACGUGGUUACAGCCAGGCGGCUUAUAGUUAUGUUAUAGCCUAGGGGCUUGCGUUUUGCUUUGUUGUUAAACCGGUGGUUUGGGUGAGGCUAUACGGGGUUGGAGGAGGUCUCAGGGGGAACCCACAGUGGCAUGGGGACCCCAGCGCCAGUGAGGGUGCAGUAUCCUCAUAGGGGCCUCACAGUGGAGUGUGAGGACCCCAGCGCCCAGGAGGGUGCAGCAUACGGGGUGUAUAGACCCCAGCCAUAGAGAGGGGCAUUUUUUAGAAGUCCUAGCAUAGGCGUGGCGAGCCCUAGAGAGGGGCACUUUGGAGAAGCCCAAGUGUGGGCGCAGAGAGCCCCAGGAAGCGGGCAACAUUGAGAAGCCCAAGUGUGGGUGCAGAGCACCCCAGGAAGGGGGCAACAUCGAGAAGCCCAAGUGUAGGCGCAGAGAGCCCCGGGAAGGGGGCAACAUUUUAAGAAGCCCAAGUUGGGCACGGCGAGCCCCAGACAGGGGGGCAACAUUAUCGAGAAGCCCAGUGUGGGCGUUGCGAGCACCAGGAGGGGGCACUAUUGAGAAGCCCCAGUACAGGCAUGUUGAGGCCCCGAGAGAGGGCAACGGUGCAGAGAAGGCCCCGAGAGAGGGCGCCGGCACAGAGAAGGCCCCGAGAGAGGGCGAGGAGAGCCCCAGGAAGGGGCAGCUGUGUAUGCUGAGAGAGAUAGUGACAGUCCAACAUCCAUUCCAACUGCGAGGCUUGGGGCGUGGUAUCAGAGGUGGUUGGAGCCACGCAUAGCCCAUAAGGAUAGGGUGCUCCGAAGCACCCGUUUGCAGGACAAGACCCACGAGGGGUCCAGGAGUCUACAGGACCAGAGGGUACAACGGUCUGUGUCCAAGAAGACGUGAGGCAGCCUCCCAACUGAUUUUAACCAUCAAAAAUGUGGCGGGCGAGAACUAGAGGGUGCCCUUGGGCGAACUUGGCACGGAGAGGGGGCCGUAAGGAGAUCACGGCCCUCUUGUGGGACCGUGCCGUGACAUUCGGCCAACUACAGAAACAGCCAAGAUCCACCGGGCUCGGUAAAGGGCGAGGUGCAGGGGAGGAGGAGCCUCUCAAAAGACCUCUAAGAAGCAGGUGACUGAUGAGGACAACCAUGCUGCAUGAAGCCCCACCCACUGAAAGAUUCAAGUCGUGGCAGGCGAGAAAGGGCAGGUUGCAGCGCGUGGGAAGACCUCCCGGAAGGCCACCUGUGAUGGCAAGGCAAGUACCGGCAGGCACUCGGAGCAAGGAAGCCCGAAGUAAGAUGUACGAGGCCCGGCAGGUACAAAUACCUUCCUUAUAGUUAGUAAUGUAAUAAAUGUCAAUUAUCUAUAGGCAAUAUCUUGACCUCUGAUAUGGGACUUUCCUCUUAAGCUUGGAAGGUUGUCUGUUGCCACGGUGGCUAAAUUUCAGCAUGCAAAAAAAAGGAUUAUUGGGCAUGUCUAUACCUGAAAUUAAUUCAACUGUAUAAACUCUGGUGCAGUUAAUGCUGGAGUUUAUUGUUCCCAGGCACCACAUAUGAAUGAGUGCCUGGGACCGCAGCACAUUGAGCUGGGUCAGAGCAGCCUCCGCUGGCAGGGGAGCUGGGGCUCAGCCUGGCAGCUCAGGGUUGCUCUUACCCAGUUUAAUGUACUAUGGAGCAGCUGACUGGGGUAUGAGAGUGCUCCAGUUUGGGGCUAGCUGGCAGGCAGCCCCCCCCCCCCGAAGAAUCCUUAUGCCUCAGCCAGCCCCAUCAGCACCUAUAGGCGUGUGCAGACAAAACGGUGCCCCUAAAUUGAAGCAGUGGGUUUCUGAAAACACCGCUUCAAUUCAGGGCUGAUUAAACCCCCAUGUCGUGCACACAUCUUGCUGACUUACCUGUCUCUCUGGCGGCGGGGAGGGGAGAGCGAGCCGCUGGCAGGCAGAGUGGUUCCUGGGCUGUGGAGGGGCCAGUGCUUCCCUCUGUGGCAGUGGCAGAUUCAGUCAGAUGGCACCCUCCUGUAGGCACCCAGCUUGAGCAGUCCUGGGGGGCACUACAGCUGCAGAGGGAAGCACCGGACCCCUGUGCAGCUCAGGCAGGCUCCAGGGGAAAAAAAUAAAAAAAUUAAAAAAAAAAAAUCAAGCUUACAAAAAACUAGAACUCGUGGUUCCAAAAUUAUACCUUUUAUUAGACCAACUGGAAAAUGGCAAGAAAAUUGUCCUUUUCUGCAAGCUUUCAGGAUCGAAGUCCCUUUGUCAGGCUCUGGGAAAAGUGUAGAUGGUACAAGAUGGUAAAAAGUCCCCAUAGGUAGGAAAUAAACUUCAUUUUUGCACAGAGGGAGCUGAAGAUGGAAGUCUGUCCCUCUGGGUCCAUGAAAGUGUCUUUGUGUGCUGUGUUGAGUAGCUCUUUGAUGUGUUGAUCAGGUAGAAUUCCUUCCCUGAAGGUGUCAGAUGGGAGGCAGGGAGGCAAAAAAAAGUCCUUGUUUUUUUUUAAUCAGGCUUGCUGCUUUUCUUGAGGAGUUUUAGUUUGCUGCACCCCAAGUCAUUUAAGGUGCAUUACACCGCCACAUUUCCUACAGUGGCUGGAAUUAAUGUGUAAUAUGCCGCCAAGGCAUACAAACACCGACACCAUUAAAGCUGUGCAAAAGCAUUUCACCCUCUUUAAAGUGUCAUGCACACACCCCCCUUAUUUCAUCAACACAUCGCCUACAUGUACAUUACAGUGCACAAAAAUAAUGCACUAAAUAAUGUAUUGACAAAUACUAACUUAUGGCAGCAUUUAUUAGUUUUCUGUGCGCUAAUUUGCCCUCAUGUGUAGAUGCUGAGAUUUUACUGUGUAGCUAAUUUAGACAAUUAAACAUCUCAUAUAGAGGCAUCCGCUGUGUAACAAAAGACUAAAUGUAUCCUUAAACAGGCUUGUUCUAACAUCAUAUAGUGAGUUUCAGUAGACUACUAUUAAUAUCCCACACCUGAUUCCUCCCUUAAAGUGAUGUACAAAAUGAUAUGCAGUCAGUUCCAUUAACAACUAUACAUCUCAAGGCAAAUUUUAGGAUCCACAAAGAACUAUUUUUCACAAACUUGAGAUAUGUCAUGCCAAAGAAGUCUUGAUUAACAGAGAUUCCUGUAUUGAUGCUGAUUAUAACUGUAGUUUAUUAAUGCAUACAAUCUUGUCUACUGGAGGACUUAAAUUGAUUCUUCAAGAUAAUUAGGGGAUGUUAUUGCUACUUUAUUAUUUUGAAUUCUAAAAGCAUGCACUGAACUGGAUUCAGAAGUCAGAUAUUUGUUGUCUAGGUUCUUUAUGGUAUAAAAUAGCUGCUAGAAAUAAUGAAGAUGUGGCAUACUGGGAAUUACAGUACAAAGAUUAUCUUUAAGAAUAUAUUCACUAUAUGCCUUGCUUCAUAGAGGUAAUUGAAAAGAGUAAUCUUAAGCAGGAGUUGAACUGAAAUAUAAAACAUGAUAACAAAACAAUUUUUGCAUAUGGAAAAAUAUAGGAAAGGCUAUAGAAAUGUCAGGAGAUGAAUGAGAUUUUCACAUUCAUAUUGAUCACAUGGAAGAGGUAAGUGUUCUGAAGAUGAAACAUUUAGAACAGAAAUAGUCUACCUUAGAUAAAGUGUACACUGUCACAGAAAAUAAUUCAGGGUAGUAAUUUAAAGAACAAAGGUAAGGAGCAACACAGAUUGACAGAUAAGCAAGCAUCAAGUGGUUGUUUUGGAAAUUCUGUGAUAGGAAACAUGGCCAUGUUCUGCUGAAAUAACCAUCUAGCAUUAUUGUUAAUGGGAAAGAGAAGGAAAUCUAUUUCAUUUUGAUUUAUAGUACACAUGCCUGGAGAUCAUUUAAUUGAACAAAUUUUAAAAUCUUUAAUAAGAAUGCUGAUGAUCAGAGAGCUGCAUAUGGACUAGAUGAUUGUGAUUAUAAAGAAAGGCCAUGUCAUGAGCAUUUGAAUCUAAAUGUGAAAAGUCUAUAAAUGCAGGGAGCCUACAAUUGGUUAACAGGAAAGGCAGCAGUGAAAUAUUUCAGGUAAGGCUAAAACAAAUGACAAACAAAGGAGAAACUGCAGUGGGCAUCUGUUAUACACCCACAGAACAGGAGGACAGUGAAAAUGAAAAAUUACUAUACCAACUGUAGAGGAGUUAGAAACUGCAGGCAUUAUCCAUUCCCUUUUCUAUGCUCCAUUUGAAGUCAUUGGAUAUGGGAAAGCAGUGCAAUGGGGAUAGGUUCUUUCCCAUUGGGAAGCAAGGGGCCAGGCUGAAACUCAGGGCCCACUCUACUUUAGAGUAGCAGCUGUCCAACACGAUCUUUACCUUGUUCUCCUCCUCCUGGUUCCUCCCUUGGCAUCCCAGGAAGCCAGCUUCCCAAGGAAUGUUAAGAAAAGGGAUUGGUUAGUGUCUACAUUAUGGGUUGGUAGUGAACGCACUAUGUUGAGAAGUCCAAGAGAUGCAGGUUCAAACCCAGUGUGGAGGAAGAGAUCAAAUCUGCAGCUUGUUGGGCAGGUUCCCUAACUAGUCAACUACUGGAUCUAAAUCAUGGGAUGGUCCUUUUCUACAAUCCAACAGCUGUGCAUUUCUGGCUGGCUAUACUUUUGUGACAAACAGAAUGGGUGCACCUAUUGUGUAUGCUUAGACUAUGACAGUGUGGAUGUGUAAGCAUGCUUUCAGACUAAUAGAAUUGCUGUGUGUAUGUGCCAAAAAUGUAAUUUACAUAGCUAGCAAACUGCUGCUUAGCUGCACAAACGGAACUGGUGUUUAGAUGCACACGUGGAAAUAGAAUUCCUUCGUAAAUUUUGUGAACUUACAGCAUAUUAAAAUAUUCCAUACCACUAUUUUUACACUGAAAAUUAAAAGGGAAAUACAAGUGGAAAUAAAGAGCAAAUACCAAAUUAUAAUAAUCUACAUCAUAUAUAGAUAUUGCAAGAUAAAAUAUAUGAAAAGACUGGUUAUAUUAUGAGUCCCCUCUCCCAGAAGAAGGGUUGUUUUUUGUCGUAUUCUCUUUAAAGGCCUCAAAGAGAAAAAGAACUGAGACUGGAAUAAGUAAAGCAAAUGGAACUUAAAGAACUUGUACUUUCUUUAUAAAAGAAAGUCACUUUCUUUAUAAAGAAAGGAUAAGAACAGCAAAAUUCAGAAUGAGGAGUUAACUAAAAGAGGAUGAGGGCUUUUAUAAGGAUGUUGAAGAGAAAUAAAAUGAUAGAGAGAAUAGUCUUAUUAAGGAAUGAAAGUGGGUACCAAAAAAACAAAGCCAAGCUGGUAAGGAAUUAUUUGCAGUAAACUAAAUAUUAAAAUCUAGUUAUUAUGCACCUAAGAAUCCAUAGAAUCCUAGCAGUUGUUUCUGAUAAGUUAUGGAGACCUGAGGACAUAUACCAGUGUAAUGAAAAGGAAUGUGUAGUGAUCAAAAGUGUGGUUCUGGCACUUACAGUGCCAUCAAAUAAUUUUACCUUGAUGUCUUAGUAAAAUAUUGAAAUAAAUAUUCUCCUUGUAAACAUGCAACAGUUGUUGAACAAUGAAUAAUAGAGGUAUAGAAAAAACAAAUAAGGCCAGACAAACAUCACUUUUUAAACCAUCACAUUAAAAAACUGGCUGACAAAGGAUAUGCUGUUGUGUAAAGUAUCUGGGAUUAAAUAAAGUCGUUUUGUAAUGUCAGGAUUUCAGUAAAACAGUGAUUUAUAGUCUCACUGGAAAAAUAAUCAAAAUUGGCUUGGAGAGCCAUGCUGACACAUGGGGUGAAAACUGGCUGUAGGACAGUAAACAAAAGAUAAUGCUAAGAACAGCAUAUUGAGUUGUGGUGUGAAGGGGCAAGAAAAUGUGUA
This is a long non-coding RNA of Alligator mississippiensis (American alligator), 9908 nucleotides long. RefSeq lists it as uncharacterized. The transcript has 5 exons. The record is from RefSeq and is a predicted model, not a curated record. NCBI's taxonomy places the organism in Eukaryota, Metazoa, Chordata, Crocodylia, Alligatoridae.